RNAcentral lists this transfer RNA (920 nucleotides) under uncultured cyanobacterium. RNAcentral's name for it is "partial contains 16S ribosomal RNA and 16S-23S ribosomal RNA intergenic spacer". The stretch from base 295 to 367 matches the Rfam family "tRNA". Lineage: Bacteria; Bacillati; Cyanobacteriota. The record is from RNAcentral.
UGGAUCACCUCCUAACAGGGAUACAAUACGCGAUUGUGAUGUCUGAGUAUUUUAUUCUCAGGCCAUGAUCCUGUCAUCUCUAAGGUCGAUCGGUACCUCAAUGGAGACAUUAGAAAGCAAACGAACCGUAAGGUGAGUAAGUUUGUCUGAUUUAUCUUUUCAGUUCCUAAACUUUGUCUAGGUCACCCCAAAAACGGGUAAACAAGCUCCUGGGCCAUUAGCUCAGGUGGUUAGAGCGCACCCCUGAUAAGGGUGAGGUCCCUGGUUCAAGUCCAGGAUGGCCCAUUCGUGUUUGGGGGUUUAGCUCAGUUGGUAGAGCGCCUGCUUUGCAAGCAGGAUGUCAGCGGUUCGAGUCCGCUAACCUCCAUCCAACGCUGACCCUUAUUGCGAAAGUUCCACAGGAGAACCAGCGAGGGUGACUAGACGGUAAAAACUAAGCGGGAAGAUUCCAGCCUCAUUGCAUUCCAAACUAUUGGUCACAGUCAACAGACUGUUAAAGACCAAGAUUAAGUUAGGUUGCAGCGAUGCUGGACUCAAAGCUUUCUGAAACCAGAAAGCAAUGAUGUCCUAGCAAAGAACCUUGACAACUGCAUAGGUGAAUCUGGAAAUAAUAGCAUCUCAUAGAUGCUUGGUUCUGGAUCCGAAUUUUUAAGUUAUCUGAGCAAUCAGCUGACUUGAAAAAGAGGUGAAAGACCCAAGAAAAUUCUUGAGUUUAGAGCCGAGAGCUUCCAGUGUUCUUAGCCACCGCCGAGGUGUGCUGAGUUUGAUCCUUAAUUCAAACCGUUGCUGCCAGUGAAUGCUGAAAGCAAAGGGUGAAUCAUGAGAGAAUAGGUUUCAACAACCUGAAGCAUUGGGAGACUAAAUUGGUCAAGCUACAAAGGGCUCACGGUGGAUACCUUGGCACACAGAGGCGAUGAAGG